UCACUGCUUGCGCAGGCAGUCUCGCUAGAGUCCCCAACCGAAUUGCUGGCAACAUAGGACAGGGGUUGCGCUCGUUGCGGGACUUAACCCAACAUCUCGCGACACGAGCUGACGACAGCCAUGCACCACCUGUGCACUGGUCCCGAAGGAGGGCCGUAUUUCUACGGAUUUCCAGUGCAUGUCAAGCCCUGGUAAGGUUCUUCGCGUUGCAUCGAAUUAAACCACAUGCUCCGCUGCUUGUGCGGGGCCCCGUCAAUUCCUUUGAGUUUUAGCCUUGCGGCCGUACUCCCCAGGCGGGGUGCUUAAUGCGUUAGCUACGGCACGGAAGGAGUCGACACCUCCCACACCUAGCACCCAUCGUUUACGGCGUGGACUAC
This 377-nucleotide unclassified non-coding RNA is filed under the name uncultured Gaiellaceae bacterium. RNAcentral's name for it is "contains 16S-23S intergenic spacer region". Lineage: Bacteria; Bacillati; Actinomycetota; Thermoleophilia; Gaiellales; Gaiellaceae. The record is from RNAcentral.